AGAAACAUUCCUCGGAUCUUGUCCCCUGGACCUUGGACUUUUGGUGUGGAUGAUCAGGGCCUACCAAAGCAAGGUUUCUCAAACUGUGGGGUGUUUGUUUUGAUGUACACUCUGUACAUUGCAAUGGAAGCACAGGAAACAUGCAGAAAAUUAGGUGAUGGUGGUGCCUCGUUCUCCUGCAGAACUUUCCCAUGCAGUCUGAAGAGGUUGAAAGAUUGAAAAAGGCGGCGAAAACAAAACGCACUACAGGAAUAUGUAGAAGUUGUCCCCCUCCCCCCCAAGAAAACUCUGCAUGUCACAUCAGCAUCCAGCUCUGCAGGAUCAGGAAGCAGAUGUUCUUUUCAGGGACACACUAGAGGCAGCAAGGUGGUGCAAACUCAGUUUUAAAGGCACUGGUUUCCCUCCCUAGUGUAAUGGGGAUGGACGGGGAAGACCGCAUUACAACCCUUAAAGAACUACGGUUGUAUGAAGAGGAAAACACUCUCCUCAAGGAACCAUUCAUGUUACAGAGAGAUUAUGAGAUGUUCUAUGUGGAGGCAGUUGACAAGAAUUAUUGUCUUUGCCUCUCUGUUGAGGAGCAGGAUUGAAGCCAUUUUUGAGCUGUGGUCAAACCUUGUUUUUGUCUGUGGUGUUUGUUGUUUGUUUCAUGUUGUUCAGUAAAGAUGUAGAAGUCACCCGCGUCUCUGAUCUC
Long non-coding RNA from Oncorhynchus tshawytscha (Chinook salmon), 691 nucleotides. RefSeq lists it as uncharacterized. The record is from RefSeq and is a predicted model, not a curated record. NCBI's taxonomy places the organism in Eukaryota, Metazoa, Chordata, Actinopteri, Salmoniformes, Salmonidae. The transcript is spliced from 7 exons.